RNAcentral lists this ribosomal RNA (253 nucleotides) under uncultured bacterium. Its description in RNAcentral is "partial 16S ribosomal RNA". It matches the Rfam family "Bacterial small subunit ribosomal RNA", at positions 524 to 776 of the family's 1533-position model. The record is from RNAcentral.
UACGGGGGGGGCAAGCGUUGUUCGGAAUUACUGGGCGUAAAGGGCUCGUAGGUGGCCAACUAAGUCAGACGUGAAAUCCCCAGGCUCGACUUGGGAACUGCGUCUGGUACUGGAUGGCUUGAAUUCGGGAGAGGGAUGCAGAAUUCCAGGUGUAGCGGUGAAAUGCGUAGAUAUCUGGAGGAAUACCGGUGGCGAAGGCGGCAUCCUGGACCGGCAUUGACGCUGAGGAGCGAAAGCCAGGGGAGCAAACGGG